RNAcentral lists this ribosomal RNA (344 nucleotides) under uncultured bacterium. RNAcentral describes it as "bacterial SSU rRNA". It matches the Rfam family "Bacterial small subunit ribosomal RNA", at positions 29 to 355 of the family's 1533-position model. The record is from RNAcentral.
AGCGAACGUUAGCGGCAGGCCUAACACAUGCAAGUCGCACGAGGGAAUCCGGGCUCGGUCGGUAGUAAAGUGGCGGACGGGUGAGUAACACGUGGAUAAUCUGCCCCUCGGCGGGGGACAACAGUCCGAAAGGAUUGCUAAUACCGCAUACGUCAGCGAGGUCUUCGGACCUUGUUGGGAAAGAUGGCCUCUUCAUGAAAGCUAUCACCGAAGGAUGAGUCCGCGGCCCAUCAGCUAGUUGGCGGGUAAUGGCCCACCAAGGCUUAGACGGGUAGCUGGUCUGAGAGGAUGAUCAGCCACACUGGAACUGAGACACGGUCCAGACUCCUACGGGAGGCAGCAGU